UCAUUGCUAUUGGGGUCCGAUUUAGCCAUGCUAGUUGCACGAGUUCAUACUCGUGGCGAAAAGCUCAGUAACACGUGGCCAAACUACCCUACAGAGAACGAUAACCUCGGGAAACUGAGGCUAAUAGUUCAUACGGGAGUCAUGCUGGAAUGCCGACUCCCCGAAACGCUCAGGCGCUGUAGGAUGUGGCUGCGGCCGAUUAGGUAGACGGUGGGGUAACGGCCCACCGUGCCGAUAAUCGGUACGGGUUGUGAGAGCAAGAGCCCGGAGACGGAAUCUGAGACAAGAUUCCGGGCCCUACGGGGCGCAGCAGGCGCGAAACCUUUACACUGCACGCAAGUGCGAUAAGGGGACCCCAAGUGCGAGGGCAUAUAGUCCUCGCUUUUCACGACUGUAAGGCGGUCGAGGAAUAAGAGCUGGGCAAGACCGGUGCCAGCCGCCGCGGUAAUACCGGCAGCUCAAGUGAUGACCGAUAUUAUUGGGCCUAAAGCGUCCGUAGCCGGCCACGAAGGUUCAUCGGGAAAUCCGCCAGCUCAACUGGCGGGCGUCCGGUGAAAACCACGUGGCUUGGGACCGGAAGGCUCGAGGGGUACGUCCGGGGUAGGAGUGAAAUCCCGUAAUCCUGGACGGACCACCGAUGGCGAAAGCACCUCGAGAAGACGGAUCCGACGGUGAGGGACGAAAGCUAGGGUCUCGAACCGGAUUAGAUACCCGGGUAGUCCUAGCUGUAAACGAUGCUCGCUAGGUGUGACACAGGCUACGAGCCUGUGUUGUGCCGUAGGGAAGCCGAGAAGCGAGCCGCCUGGGAAGUACGUCCGCAAGGAUGAAAC
RNAcentral lists this ribosomal RNA (830 nucleotides) under Haloferax sp. BS2b. RNAcentral's name for it is "bacterial SSU rRNA". It matches the Rfam family "Archaeal small subunit ribosomal RNA", at positions 24 to 855 of the family's 1478-position model. Lineage: Archaea; Methanobacteriati; Methanobacteriota; Halobacteria; Halobacteriales; Haloferacaceae. The record is from RNAcentral.